Molecule: ribosomal RNA, 231 nt
Filed under: Francisella tularensis subsp. holarctica
Lineage: Bacteria; Pseudomonadati; Pseudomonadota; Gammaproteobacteria; Thiotrichales; Francisellaceae
Description: partial 16S ribosomal RNA
Rfam family: Bacterial small subunit ribosomal RNA
Source: RNAcentral
GAGAUCAGAAGGAACAACAAUGGCGAAUGCAACAUACUGGACCGAUACUGACACUGAGGGACGAAAGCGAGUGGAUCAAACAGGAUUAGAAACCCUGGUAGUCCACGCUGUAAACGAUGAGUACUAGCUGUUGGAGUCGGUGUAAAGGCUCUAGUGGCGCAGAUAACGCGAUAAGUACUCCGCCUGGGGACUACGGCCGCAAGCCUAAAACUCAAAGGAAUGGACGGGGAC